GAUGAACGCUAGCGACAGGCCUAACACAUGCAAGUCGAGGGGUAACGAUGUAGCUUGCUACAGGCGACGACCGGCGCACGGGUGCGUAACGCGUAUGAAACCUGCCUUAUACUGGGGGAUAGCCCGAAGAAAUUCGGAUUAAUACCCCAUAACAUUGUGAUACCGCAUGGUAUUAUAAUUAAAACUCCGGUGGUAUAAGAUGGUCAUGCGUGACAUUAGCUAGUUGGUGAGGUAAUGGCUCACCAAGGCAACGAUGUCUAGGGGUUCUGAGAGGAAGGUCCCCCACACUGGUACUGAGACACGGACCAGACUCCUACGGGAGGCAGCAGUGAGGAAUAUUGGUCAAUGGACGCAAGUCUGAACCAGCCAUGUCGCGUGCAGGAUGACUGCCCUAUGGGUUUGUAAACUGCUUUUAUACGGGAAGAAUGUGACCUACGUGUAGGUUUUUGCCGGUUACCGUAUGAAUAAGCAUCGGCUAACUCCGUGCCAGC
Molecule: ribosomal RNA, 491 nt
Filed under: uncultured bacterium
Lineage: Bacteria
Description: bacterial SSU rRNA
Rfam family: Bacterial small subunit ribosomal RNA
Source: RNAcentral